AACGAACGCUGGCGGCGUGGAUCAGGCAUGCAAGUCGAACGAUCUCGCAAGAGAAAGUGGCGGAAGGGUUAGUAACACGUGGGUAACCUACCCUAAAGUCGGGGAUAACACCGCGAAAGCGGUGCUAAUACCCGAUGAUAUUACCGGAUCGCAUGAUUUGGUAAUCAAAGGUAGCUCGCAAGGGCUGCCGCUGAAGGAGGGACCCGCGGCCUAUCAGCUAGUUGGAGAGGUAACGGCUCACCAAGGCUAUUGACGGGUAGCUGGUCUAAGAGGACGGUCAGCAACAUUGGGACUGAGACACUGCCCAGACUCCUACGGGAGGCUGCAGUCGAGGAUCUUUAGCAAUGCCCGAAAGGGUGACUAUGCGACGCCGCGUGGAGGAUGAAGGCCU
Molecule: ribosomal RNA, 391 nt
Filed under: uncultured bacterium
Lineage: Bacteria
Description: bacterial SSU rRNA
Rfam family: Bacterial small subunit ribosomal RNA
Source: RNAcentral